UAAAAGGCUAUGAAAAAGAAGAGUAUAUGAAUAUUUUCUGCAAAGAGAGCUGAUAGAUGGUGGGAGUUCAGUGAGAAAGUUCAUAGAAAGAAGCUUUGGAGCUAUGGCUGAAAGAAGAUUUCGUAGUAGGUCAUGGGAGGCACCCCAUAUAUGCGAUAAAGAGAGUUUUGCUUAUAUUUUAAGCAGGCUAAUUUAGGUGGUACCGCGGAUAACAGUCUUUCGUCCUAAUA
Molecule: non-coding RNA, 230 nt
Filed under: Clostridium cadaveris
Lineage: Bacteria; Bacillati; Bacillota; Clostridia; Eubacteriales; Clostridiaceae
Description: T-box sequence
Rfam family: T-box leader
About the family: Uncharged tRNA acts as the effector for transcription antitermination of genes in the T-box leader family. T-boxes are found upstream of many aminoacyl-tRNA synthetase genes and some amino acid biosynthetic genes usually in Gram-positive bacteria.
Source: RNAcentral